GAUGAACGCUAGCUACAGGCUUAACACAUGCGAGUCGAGGGGCAGCAUGAUUGAAGCUUGCUUCAAUCGAUGGCGACCGGCGCACGGGUGAGUAACACGUAUCCAACCUGCCGAUAACUCGGGGAUAGCCUUUCGAAAGAAAGAUUAAUACCCGAUAGUAUAGUAUUUCCGCAUGGUUUCACUAUUAAAGAACUUCGGUUAUCGAUGGGGAUGCGUUCCAUUAGAUAGUUGGCGGGGUAACGGCCCACCAAGUCAACGAUGGAUAGGGGUUCUGAGAGGAAGGUCCCCCACAUUGGAACUGAGACACGGUCCAAACGCCUACGGGAGGCAGCAGUGAGGAAUAUUGGUCAAUGGACGAGAGUCUGAACCAGCCAAGUAGCGUGAAGGAUGACUGCCCUAUGGGUGGUAAACUUCUUUUAUACGGGAAUAAAGUGGAGUAGGCAUACUCCUUUGUAUGUACCGUAUGAAUAAGGAUCGGCUAACUCCGUG
Molecule: ribosomal RNA, 489 nt
Filed under: uncultured bacterium
Lineage: Bacteria
Description: partial 16S ribosomal RNA
Rfam family: Bacterial small subunit ribosomal RNA
Source: RNAcentral